UACGUAGGGGGCGAGCGUUGUCCGGAUUUAUUGGGCGUAAAGAGCGUGUAGGCGGCCAGGUAGGUCUGCUGUGAAAACUCGAGGCUCAACCUCGAGACGUCGGCGGAAACCAUCUGGCUAGAGUCCGGAAGAGGAGAGUGGAAUUCCUGGUGUAGCGGUGAAAUGCGCAGAUAUCAGGAAGAACACCAAUGGCGAAAGCAGCUUUCUGGGACGGUACUGACGCUGAGACGCGAAAGCGUGGGGAGCGAACAGG
This 253-nucleotide ribosomal RNA is filed under the name uncultured bacterium. RNAcentral's name for it is "partial 16S ribosomal RNA". It matches the Rfam family "Bacterial small subunit ribosomal RNA", at positions 524 to 776 of the family's 1533-position model. The record is from RNAcentral.